GGGAAGUCUACCAUGAACGGGAAGUCUACCAUGAACCUAAAACACAAAUAUGUGGAACUUAUUUAUUAAAUAGGUGAGUCUCACCAUAUAUCAUGUGUCUUUAAGAGCUUAAUUAACAUUAUUAAGUCAUGAUUUACAUCUAAGUGAAAGUAAAUUAGCUUCAACACCUAAAAGUUGAGUUUCUGUCCUGUGGUAUAGUACCAAAAGUAUUGGUCAUAGGGCUUAUCCUAUCUGCGGGAAGCGGAUCGUCUCGGUGAUGGCCUUUCGAGUUUUGCAUUCUUAUCACUCACUGAAUCACCCUGAAUCACUGGCGGCUUUGUUUGAUAAAUAUCAGAUAUAGAAUCCAAAUCAGUUCCUCUAUCCAUUGAUGUAUGAGCAAUCUGAAUCUGAUGAUCACCUUUGAAAAGAUGAUCAUCUUGAGGUCCAAGACAGGUUGGCGCUGAUCCCAGUUCUUGCAAACGAAGGUCAUCAGGCCAGAUUAAAAGGCUCUUGCCGCUACCAUUGUAAGGGCUAGACCUCUUCUUUCCCAAGCAAAUAUUGUCAUUAUUUGGCAUGAACGCAUCAAUUGAUGGUGGCCUUUCCAUGUUGUGUUGCAUAUCAAGUUGGUCACCUCCAUAAAUGUUAAGGUCUUGAAAUGGUGAGAAAUUUAGAGGACCAAAAUCUUUCAUCCCACCCCCCAUAUCAGGAACUCCUUGAUUUCCAAUGCCUUUGUUGCUUCCUGAGGCCAUGUUUUCAUUUGCAAGUGUUUGGUAAGCUUUCUCUAGCAUAUUUUGCAUGUAUUUCCCAUGAGAUUCAAUCCUUAAUUGAAGAUGUCUUUGUACAUCUAAUUGUUCGUGCAAUCUUCUUUGCACCUCCAUUUGCAUCCUAAUCGCAUCAACCAUGUGUGAGUUACUGGAUUUUCACAGGUAUAUUUGACAAGAAAAUCCGAUACCACCAACCACAAACAAGAAUGAAAAUACCAACUUAGGUAAUUCUUUAUGUUGUUAUUUAUUUUUAAAUGAAUGGCUUUCAAUGACUUGUUUACUCUAUAAAAAAAAUAAAUAAAUAAAUCGACGUAAUACUUACUCGUUCAUACUUCUGCUCAUCAUGACAGAAGACGAUCCACCACUUCGUUGAAGAUCUAAUGCUGGAGCAUCCUUGAUUGAGUGAUCAUUGAAUUCCUUGUGAGGUUGCUUUCCAAGUCUGAAUUUCUGAAGAUGGCUUUUGAGGUGGUAAAGGGUAAGACCCUUCACACCCAUAACUCUCAUGAUUGUCUUUGGUGUGGCUUCUGCAAAUUUUCAGCAAACAUAGAAGAGAAAAUACGUUGGAACCCAGUUGAAGCUAGAUGAAUAAAAGAAAAAUAAGAAGAGGAAAGAAGGAAGCAAUCCAUCAACUGAAGAAUUAAACAAGUGAUCAAUCUCAAAACAGAUGAAAUGGAAUCGACGAAAAAGAGACAUAGGGAAAAUUCAGUACUAUCAGGUCCUCCAAGUUGAGCAACAGCAUCGACAAAGCGUUCAUGAAGUUCAACUGUCCAACGCAGACGAGGCUUAGGGUCAGUGGUUAGGACAAGACCAGAGUCCCCUUGAACACACAUUGGCCUAUCAUGGGAAUUCAUGGUUGAGGGUUUCUUUGUAUGGAACAUUCUCUCUCUCUCUCUCUCUCU
RNAcentral lists this unclassified non-coding RNA (1642 nucleotides) under Hevea brasiliensis (rubber tree). Lineage: Eukaryota; Viridiplantae; Streptophyta; Magnoliopsida; Malpighiales; Euphorbiaceae. The record is from RNAcentral.